Molecule: ribosomal RNA, 466 nt
Filed under: uncultured bacterium
Lineage: Bacteria
Description: partial 16S ribosomal RNA
Rfam family: Bacterial small subunit ribosomal RNA
Source: RNAcentral
GACGAACGCUGGCGGCGUGCUUAACACAUGCAAGUCGAACGGAAAGGCCCUGCUUGCAGGGUACUCGAGUGGCGAACGGGUGAGUAACACGUGGGUGAUCUGCCCUGCACUUCGGGAUAAGCUUGGGAAACUGGGUCUAAUACCGGAUAGGAACCAUCUUUAGUGUGGUGGUUGGAAAGUUUUUUCGGUGUAGGAUGAGCUCGCGGCCUAUCAGCUUGUUGGUGGGGUAAUGGCCUACCAAGGCGGCGACGGGUAGCCGGCCUGAGAGGGUGUACGGCCACAUUGGGACUGAGAUACGGCCCAGACUCCUACGGGAGGCAGCAGUGGGGAAUAUUGCACAAUGGGCGCAAGCCUGAUGCAGCGACGCCGCGUGGGGGACGAAGGCCUUCGGGUUGUAAACUCCUUUCGCUAGGGACGAAGCUUUGUUGUGACGGUACCUAGAUAAGAAGCACCGGCUAACUACGUG